This 221-nucleotide long non-coding RNA is filed under the name Olea europaea (common olive). RNAcentral's name for it is "long non-coding RNA (OEUR_LNC014758)". The record is from RNAcentral. Lineage: Eukaryota; Viridiplantae; Streptophyta; Magnoliopsida; Lamiales; Oleaceae.
CAAAAGCUUCAAGGAGGAGAAUGUUGAUUAUUGAAGACUUUUGGUUUUCUCCACAUGAUGAAAUAUGAAGAGUGUUAGAGAGGAAGAUGAAGAGUGUUGGAGAGGAAGAUGAAGAGAUGGAUGCAUUCACCAUCAUUAUUAGUCAUUAUUAUUCUUCGUAAUUGUGUGACUCUUAGUAGUCUUAUGCUAUCCUAUAAAUAGGUUUGUCAUGUACUCAAAUC